GAUGAACGCUGGCGGCGUGCCUAACACAUGCAAGUCGAACGGAGUUAUAUGAAGUUUUCGGACGGAUUAUAACUUAGUGGCGGACGGGUGAGUAACGCGUGGGUAACCUGCCUCAUACAGGGGGAUAACAGUUGGAAACGGCUGCUAAAACCGCAUAACAUUGCGACGUCGCAUGACGAUGCAAUUAAAUAUUUAUAGGUAUGAGAUGGGCCCGCGUCUGAUUAGCUAGUUGGUGGGGUAAUGGCCUACCAAGGCGACGAUCAGUAGCCGGCUUGAGAGAGUGACCGGCCACAUUGGGACUGAGACACGGCCCAAACUCCUACGGGAGGCAGCAGUGGGGAAUAUUGCACAAUGGGGGAAACCCUGAUGCAGCGACGCCGCGUGAGUGAAGAAGUAUUUCGGUAUGUAAAGCUCUAUCAGCAGGGAAGAUUAUGACGGUACCUGACUAAGAAGCCCCGGCUAACUACGUGCCAGCCGCCGCAGUAA
RNAcentral lists this ribosomal RNA (486 nucleotides) under uncultured bacterium. RNAcentral's name for it is "partial 16S ribosomal RNA". It matches the Rfam family "Bacterial small subunit ribosomal RNA", at positions 28 to 523 of the family's 1533-position model. The record is from RNAcentral.